GAAGAGGUGGCUCAGUGGUUAAGAGCAUUUGUUUUCACAGAGGGCCUGGGUUUGAUUCCCAGCAUUCA
Molecule: transfer RNA, 68 nt
Filed under: Neotoma lepida (desert woodrat)
Lineage: Eukaryota; Metazoa; Chordata; Mammalia; Rodentia; Cricetidae
Rfam family: tRNA
About the family: Transfer RNA (tRNA) molecules are approximately 80 nucleotides in length. Their secondary structure includes four short double-helical elements and three loops (D, anti-codon, and T loops).
Source: Rfam by way of RNAcentral